Orcinus orca (killer whale) is the source of this 5132-nucleotide long non-coding RNA. RefSeq lists it as uncharacterized. NCBI's taxonomy places the organism in Eukaryota, Metazoa, Chordata, Mammalia, Artiodactyla, Delphinidae. The record is from RefSeq and is a predicted model, not a curated record. The transcript has 3 exons.
CAUCCCACCUUCCGAACCAUGCAUGUGCCCUUCCCCCAGCCAGGGCGUAAUUCCUCGUGGGAGCAGCUCUGGCUGCAUCUUGGCAGGGUUCUUACCCCAGCACAUUGGACUCCCCUGGAGAGUGGGGAGAGUUACCUGUGCCGGGACUCUACCCCAAAGAGUCUGAUUCAACUCAUCUUGGCUUCAGUAUAGUUUUUAAAGCUCCCCAACCCGCUCUUAAAAAGUAAUAAAAAGGGGACUUCCCUGGCAGUCCAGUGGUUAAAGACCCCAUGCUUCCAAUUCAGGGAUGCAGGGGGGGUGAGGGUUCGAUACCUGGUCAGGGAACUAAGAUUCCACAUGCUGUGUGGUGUGGCAAAAAAUAAUAGAAGUUUUUUAAAGAGUAAUAAAAGGAAUGCAGGGCCACAGAAGGAAAGAGCACACUCUGUAGUCACUUUGCCUCCCCUUGGUUUUUAUUCAGCUGGUGGGGAAGCAGGGGCUCACGAUGGUGAACACUAGCUCUCCAAAGGGAGUGUGGAAUGAGAUCGUGGUGACGGUUGCACCACACAGAUAAUAGGCUAAAACCACUGAAUUGUACACUUUAAAAUGGUUUUACGGUAUGUGACUCACAUCUCAAUUUUUUUUAAAAAAUGAAUGUGGUAGAGAAGGCAAGAGGUGUGAAUGCACAGCAGGAAGGACGGCCAAGAAGAUGUGAGUUAGUCUAACAUCCCCUGAUGGUUAAAGAAAGUUCCUGUAAACACAGUGGAGGGCAGCAUAAAGGGGUAGAAAGACCACAGAGGUCUUUCCCUUGCAAAAGCUGGUCUUGGAGCAUCUCGUUGGAGAUGUUUUCCAGGAGCUGUCCACCUGAGCUGGACCAGCGGGAAGCUCUGGCAGCCAUCAGCUGGACCGCAGCCCAUCUCCCCACACUAAGAAGCACCGGGCACUGAGAGGGUCCUGAGUAGAGAGAGCUGAGGAGAAGUGAGCAGAGACCCCCUAACAGGCCUGUAGGCAGCAGCUCAAGUUGUAUUCCGGGAAAUAGAUAAUCAGUGUCUAGGAACUCAGUGUUACAGUGUGUUGUGGAUUCCACAAUACAGGUGUCAAAACUUAAAAAUUUAAAUGAAGGACCCAGCAAUCCCAAUCCGAGGUAUCUACCCAAGAAAACUGAAAACAUACUCACCCCAAAACUUGUAUGGGAAUGUUCCAAAAAACUCAAACUCUGGGCUAAUGUCAAAUGUGUACAUGAAUGUUUUGGCAUUAUCCACAGUAGCCCCAAAGUGGAGCCAACACAAAUAUCCAUCAACUGAUGAAUGAAUAAACAAAAUGUUUAUCAGGAACAAAACAAAAACAUCCCCAGAUGAUUCUGUUACACAGGCGAGGUUGAGAAGGCCAGGGUUAAGGGGCAGAAUCUGCCUAAAGGAAUCCCAGAGUCCCCAUGGAGAACACCGCCUCCUUCGGCUGCUCUGUGGGGCAGUGGCCUCAUCCUGCUUUCCUCCAUUCUGAGGCCAGAGUGAUCAGGGGCAGUCAGCCCCAGUGCACCUGCAAGGAUGAUGCAUCCUUAUGCCGCAUCCCAAACACUGGCAGGUCCUGGCAUAUGGAGGGUGCUCCGGAGAAUGUACCCAAUCAGCCUCUGCUUCUUCAACGUUCCCCCACUGGAAUGAAGGUCAACUGCAGCUACGGAGCAGCUUACGGUCAGUUUUUGUCUCCAAGGGCAGACUCAAAUGGGGCAUUUUCUUUUUUCCUAAUUGAAGUAUAGUUGAUUUACAAUAUUGUGUUCGUUUCAGGUGUACAGGGAAGUGAUUAACUUGUGUAUGUUUUUUCAGAUUAUUUUCCAUUAUAGGUUAUUUUAAGAUAUUGAAUAUAGUUCCCUGUGUUAUACAGUAAAUCCUUGUUGCUUAUCUAUUUUAUGUGUAGUAGGGUGUAUCUGUUAAUCCCAUCCUAACUUAUCCCUCCCUCCCCCGCUUUCCCCUUUGGUAACCAUGAGUUUGUUCUCUAUGUCUGAGUCUGUUUCUGUUUUGUAUAUAGCUUCACUUGUAUUAUUUUUUAGAUUCCACAUAUAAGUGAUAUCAUACUGCUUUUGUCAUUCUCUGACUUAUUUCCCUUAGCAUAAUACCGUCCAAGUCCAUCCAUGUUGCUGCAAUAUUUCAUUCUUUUUUAUGGCUGAGUAAUAUUCCAUUGUGUGUGUGUGUGUGUGUGUGUGUGUGUGUGUGUACACACACACCACAUCUUCUUAAACCAAUCAUCUGUUGACAGACACUUGGGUCGUUUUCAUGUCUGGGCUAUUGUAAAUAGUGCUGCUAUGAACACCGCGGUGCAUAUAUCUUUUUUCAAAUUAGCGUUUUUGUUUUUUCUGGACAUUUUCCCAGGAGUGGAGUGGAAUUGCUGGAUCAUGUGGGCAUUUUCUGAUGGGCAUGGCUUCACGUCCUCUACUCUCUGGUCUCCUGGCACUUGUGCUGCCACCAGGCUACCAGAGCGAUGGCAAGACUAAGCUACUCUACCCUCCAGCCCCGUGGGCCAUCCCCGCCCCCACCAGCUGCAUCUCACCUGUUUGCCUCCUUGGCAAGACAGUGGACUCCUGGUUUGAGGAGAGCUUCUAGACGCAGAAAGCCAGUGCAAGUGUAGUGUCUUCUUUGGGGGCAAUUUCUAAGACAGAGCACCUGCACCACCUCCCCCUCAGCCCUGCCAGGACGCCGAUGCUGGUCUUCUGACCGGAUCCGAAUCCUGCCGUCCCUCCCCCGGGGCAGCGCUCAGCGGGGCAGCGUGACAGCUGGACAGGGAUCUGUAACAGCCUGCGGAGUUUACUGAGCUUCAGAGGGAAAGGCCUCGUCCAGAUGGCCUGCCCUAAAAGCCCAGAGGCAGCAACAUCAACCGUUCAGAGACAAGUCCAUUAGGGUCUCCCGGCCACAAGGCAAACGGAUGCUAGCAACCAAGUCGUGCUACUCACCCGUCCCUAAACAAACGCCUUCAGCAAAACCUGUUACAGAAAUCACUGAACAAACAUGCGGCGGUGCCCUCAGCUCACCGCAAAGGCCCAGAGCUGCAGAAAGCGUUCCAGGCUGGCCACAGAAGCAGAAGAAAACAUGCUGCCUGGGGUGACCAGGCCAGGUGAGCUCCUAGCAACCUCCCCGGGCCACGAGAGCACCUUUAUUGACCUUCCCCAGGAAAGGGCCGCUCUCCGCGCUGACCUGCGGCCGAGCUGUCACACUGGGGCACCUCUGUCCUCGUUCCCCAAGGGCUGUGACCGUCAGAACCCAAAGCAGAGGGAGCCACCUCACCUUGGCUGACUCGCCGGGACGAUGGUCACGGCUGCCGCUGGCCCCAGGAGCCUCUCUGGGGAGCAGCAGGUGGCUCCCGGGGCCCCAGCUCCCCCCGGCCAACUGCCUCUCACUGUCUGCCUCUGAACUGAGUCCAAGAGAAGGCUGCCCUCAGCCACGUUUUAUUUGUGGCCUCAUCAGGGUUAAAAGGAGUUUCUAUUCUAAACCAAUUUAUACUCAAAUUGUUGCAAAGGCAAACAGUUCCAGAAAACGAACCAUAUUUGGCCUGAGUGACUCUGAAAAGUUUGAGCAGAAUCAGUGUAGGAACAGCUCUCUGCACGAGGACAAGUUCCCAAGACACACACCCACCAGGUGAAGGGCAGAGGAAGGCAGAGAGGAGCGCUGGACCAGCUGUGAUCCGGCCACCAGACUUGCCGUGUCCCCACUCGGCUGUACCCGGGAUGCCCUGACCCGCGCCCAGAAGCCAGGCCACACCCGGGAGGGGAGCCGGCUCAGCCUGCGAGGAGGCCCAGCCCCUGCGGCGUGCCCUCCCCUGGGGCGUCAGAACUGCCGGGGCCUGUGGCUCCUGAAGCAGCCAGGUAAGAAAGAGGCCCAGGAAGCAGAGGGUUCCCAGCUUGUGCUCCAACCCAAGCCCCACCAGAGAGGCGCACGGCGAGGGGGAAGCGUAGUCUGCGCUCAGAGCACCGAGGUCACGUCGCAGCCCACCCACUGCGCGGCUGAGAGACUGGGCCAGCGGCUUCGAAUCCUGAGGUCAGUGUGCACGGGGCAGGCUGGGGGGCAGCCCAACCUUCACAGGCUGUUCUGAGGAUUAGAGAGACGGUGCAAAGCACCGGCCCCCGGGACAGCUCCGGGCCCUGAGAAUGGCGGUCAUGUGCGAUGGAAAGUUAGGGCCUGGGUGGGGGUGGGGGUGGCACCGCUCGAAAGCUCUCCCCAGUGUCCUGUUCCCAGGCCCGCAGGGCUGCCAUCGGGCAGAGGGUCCCCACCUCCACCUCGCCCUCCCUCCACCGCGGGGACUCCAGGGGAACCCAGCUCAGGCCCUCAAAGAGGAGGGGGACCAUGGUGACGGAGGGGGACCAUGGUGACGUCUUAAAGUCAGAAAUUCUCAGUCUGAUUCUUGGCUCCACUUUUUUUAAAAUAUAUAUCUAUUUAUUUAUUUUUGGCUGUGUUGGGUCUUUGUUGCUGCACACGGGCUUUCUCUAGUCGUGGCGAGCGGGGCCUACUCUUCCUUGCAGUGCGCAGGCUUCUCAUUGUGGUGGCUUCUCUUGUUGUGGAGCACGGGCUCUAGGCGCACGGGUUUCAGUAGUUGUGGCUCGUGGGUUCUAGAGCACAGGCUCGGUAGUUGUGGCCCACGGGCUUAGUUGCUCCGCAGCAUGUGGGAUCUUCCCGAACCAGGGCUCGAACCCAUGUCCCCUGCAUGGGCAGGCAGAUUCUUAACCACUGAGCCACCAGGGAAGUCCUCCGCUUCUUACUAGGUGUGUGACCUUAAAGAAAUCACUGAACCUCUCUGAGCUCUGAGCAUCAAUGUGGAGGAGGAAAACCUCCUGGACAGCUUCCGGAAGGAGAGGUUUCAAUCAGGUGACUCAGAUGUCACUUCCUAGGCCUACGAAUCAUCAGAAAAGCCCAGGCUCUGUAAGGAAGUCUAAGAAUAACUAGUUAAUAGCACUGUAGGACCUACAAAUAUGGCUUUACUCUUUUUUUUCUUUCUUGGAAUACUUUUUAAAUGAUGUAACAUAUCCCCUACUUAAGAUUAAUAAGAAAAUAGUGUUUAAAGAAUAAAAAUCACCUGCAAUUUUUUUUUUAAGCAACAACAGAACAGACCGGAGAAAGGUCCAACUACCCAACAAGAGACUAACCUUUAAGGAAUCCAACGUAGUUGAUCGAAAA